Molecule: ribosomal RNA, 497 nt
Filed under: uncultured bacterium
Lineage: Bacteria
Description: partial 16S ribosomal RNA
Rfam family: Bacterial small subunit ribosomal RNA
Source: RNAcentral
GAUGAACGCUGGCGGCGUGCCUAAUACAUGCAAGUCGAGCGAACAGACGAGGAGCUUGCUCCUCUGACGUUAGCGGCAGACGGGUGAGUAACACGUGGAUCACCUACCUAUAAGACUGGGAUAACUUCGGGACACCGGCGCUAAUACCGGAUAAUCUAUUGAACCGCAUGGUUCAAUGGUGAAUGACGGUUUUGCUGGCACUUAUAGAUGGAUCCGCGCCGCAUUAGCUAGUUGGUACGUUAACGGGUUACCAAGGCGACCAUGCGUAGCCGACCUGAGGGGGUGGUCGGCCACACUGGAACUUAGACACGGUCCAGACUCCUACGGGAGGCAGCAGUAGGGAAUCUUCCGCAAUGGUCGAAAGCCUGACGGAGCAACGCCGCGUGAGUGAUGAAGGUCUUCGGAUCGUAAAACUCUGUUAUUAGUGAUGAACAAAUGUGUAAGUAACUAUGCACGUCUUGACGGUACCUAAUCAGAAAGCCACGGCUAACUACGUG